This 3117-nucleotide long non-coding RNA is filed under the name Gallus gallus (chicken). Lineage: Eukaryota; Metazoa; Chordata; Aves; Galliformes; Phasianidae. The record is from RNAcentral.
CGGGGGCUCGUGCCCCGGCGGGCGCUGAGGUGGUUCUGGCGGUCGGGGGGUGUUGUCGUGCUGCUCAGCACAGCUUUCGUUCCUCUGUACUCGGCGGAGUUUUUAUGCGUUGCCCUCAGGUGGGAUGAAUUUGACUGCAACAAAAGUCCACUGAGAUGCGUCAGUGUUUCCCGAAGGCUCUUAAUCUCUUAUAACUUCCUCUCCUUUUGGGGGCAGAGCUCCCAUCAGUGCGUACCGCACUGCAGCUGAUGGCGUUCACCCUCUGACACUUUGUUUCUGCUCGAUGUAACGCGAGGGUUUGGGGCGCCGCAGAACUACGUGGUUUCAUGGCAUCGUUUUUAGUUUAGAUCGGCAAAUCGUUAACAAUUACUUUCUGCUUAUCCGUAUCUUCGGAGUCUGGGGACGAGAUCCUUCCUCUUGCGAUCCAUCGGCACCUGAAGGAUCUCUGAAAGGAAACCGGUGGAACGUGUGAGGGCUUCCUCUGGCGGAAAAGAACAAGACGAAAUAAGACACUAGGGAAGCUAAUGUGAGACACUAGUGCCCAAAUCACUUUAGACACGACUGAUAUGGCUGAUGAGGUAAGACAUCUGCAAAAGUAACCUCCUAUGUCUCUCAUGGAGGAAUGCUGCCAUAGAAAGACAGCCCAGGUGGUACCGUGUCUGCAGACUGCUCCAGGGCCCACAGUCCUCCUGGUGGUCUCAGAAGAGCCGAUCACAAGCUGCUGGCCCCACUCUUUGCAGUUGCUAAGCUGUUGUCUCAAGGUAGCUAAAACAUAUUAAAUACUUGCCUAAAAUUAUUUUUCCAUGCAGGCAAUUGCUAUAUCUGGCACAAAGAUGUUUUAUGAUCAUUACUGGGAAGUGAAACUAAGAGUUUCUCUACAAAAUGUGGCCAAAACUCUUGGGAGAGUCUUGAGAACUCCUGCUUUAAACACAUUUAGUUGUGUGUGUACAGAGUGCUGUGUUCUUCACCUCCUGACACUGAUGCUUUUGCUGUGCAUAGCUGAGAUUCUUGCAUAAUUUAACAGAACCAUCUCAGGUGUCUCCCACUCUGUUCAGAGCACUCAGCUGUGUUCCAGAUUUUGGCACAAAGCUUGUAUCACAUUACAUUCGAGAAGAGUUUACCAGCAAUGAUUAUUUAGAGAAUUUUCUAGAAAAUAGAUUUUUUUAAAAAAACACAUGUAUUUGAAUGGCUCCCUGAAUAUUUAUAAAUGACAGCAGCCUGGAGUCAAGUUUUUCAGUUCCUUGGAUUUAGUCUGACAAAGUGUAAUCAGCGUUAUUUAUGUUUCUGUCUCAAAUUCUGGCACUAUUGGAGCAAGUGAAAUAAGUCCUUAUCAUCUUUUUUUUCCCUGAUACACUGAAAAUGCUUGCUGCUUUUUUGUGUUACUGCUUCAUCUUCAUGGUAUUCAGACAGGCUUGUGCCUAGCAUGAAAGACCCACCGAGUGGAACAGGAACCAGCAAAAAUCGUUGCAAGAUGAGGAUGCUGGAAAAAAUGUAAAAACAGAUGAACUUAUUAAAAAUUGAUUUGGUUUUCACACACUUUUUCAUACUGUAAUUGCAAAACCUUCUGAAAUUUGCUGUUAAGCAGAACUCUGAAUUAUAUCCAGGUGCAGUAAAAUGAAUUAUGCAAAUGAUUUUAUUGGAAGAGCAUGCACAUUUACAUGUACAUAUUAUUUGCCUGGUCUUCCCAUUACAGUUGUGGUUAAAUUCUCACUUAUAAAAACAAGAGUUCUCUAGAGAAUCCAAAUUUCCUUUUCUGAUAUGGUAUAAAUCUGUCAUGUUAAUGUAGGGCACAUGGAGCUUGGAGAGAUUAAUAUGAAUAAAUACCAAAACGCGCUAACCAUUAUUUUUAGUUGUUUUAGGUUUGUUUUCUAGGGAAACAGAGCUCUGAUAUUUUGAUGUUCAGGAACAAUUUUGCUAUGAGUCCUCCAUAGCAAUUUCUGAAUCUUUUUCUAGAUACUUUACAGUAAUUAUAACAUUUUUGUUAUAAAAAAAGUCAAGCUGUGUCAGUUCUCUCCAGUCUGUCCUUAACCUUGUAAACUUCUGCUGUUUUAGAGUUCUGGAGAACUUUUGUGAGAUCACCUUUCUGAUUUUCUGGUGUGUGCAUAUUUCUCUUCAGGAGAAUCCAGCUGACAUAGAGGUCCAUAUGUGAGGAAAACAGCCACCUUCAGGUCUGACCAUUCUAAUUUCUACAUGUUGAACAAGCUUGCUGUGGCUGUUUUUGCUGUGCAUAAGCUACUCUGAAUAUGCAUACAGUUUUGAUAAGUGACCAAAGCCAGCUUUUUUCCCUUCACCAAAUAUCUCAUUCAUCUUUCUCAGUCUUAUAGUUCUCCUUACUGCAGACCAUUUUGAUAUUCUGCCAUUCAUGCCACCAGCUUCUCAUUUAUGAAAGAGAAGCAAAAUAAAAUAAACCAAGCAGAAAUAAAGCAGUUUGCUUCAUGCAUAUUCCAAGUUUGAAUCCUGUCUUUAGACUGAUACUUCACAUUCUGUUUUACUUUGAACACAUUCCUGUAUGUUUUCCCAUAGUCUUGCUUCAAGCAAGCAAGACAAGCUGUUCUGAAACUUGCUCUUCCAUCCAAAUACAUGCUACUGAUUUGUGUUUAUAUAUAUGCGUGUGAAUAUAUACUUAUUAUGUGUGUAUGUAUAUAAACUUGCCCAGUCAUCAGGCUACAGUCCACUUUGCUGAAUGUUGAAAUACAUCCAUUGUUGCUACUCCACCCAACUUGAGAAGUUAUACUGGGGCUUUCUUAGACUUGGAAUUUUCCUGUUUUGAACUGUUAAUUAUUUUAAUUAUGAAUAUUAUCUAAGACUUUAAUAAAGGUAGUUUUACCUGUACAAUCUGUACCAUUUAAUUGUCCCCCAUACUGUUUCUCAUUGUAUGAUCAGUGUCUGACCAUCCCUUGUUGUUCUUAUUAGACUCUCACAAGUUAAUCAUUUAUUAAUUCUGGUUUGCAGUUAAAACACUUCCAGUAUUGACAUGCAGAUCAAACAUCUCAGAGUUUUACUGCCACCUCCUGACCUCUGGCACAACUACUGAUAUUUUUUUCAAUCUUGUUUAGUGGUUUGGAUUUGCCUAAAUAAGUCUCUUAGCACCACCAAACUGGGUUGGACAUGGCUGGA